RNAcentral lists this long non-coding RNA (654 nucleotides) under Phoenix dactylifera (date palm). RNAcentral describes it as "long non-coding RNA (PDAC_LNC012199)". The record is from RNAcentral. Lineage: Eukaryota; Viridiplantae; Streptophyta; Magnoliopsida; Arecales; Arecaceae.
UAAGUGUAAACUUAUCUACUAAGGAUUUAUAUUUUUCAGCAUCUUCUUUUAACUUGACAUUUUCAGCAAUUAGAUUCUUGGUUUCAUUUGUGAGUUUCCUACUUAAUAUUUCAUAGUUAUGAGAUAGUUUUAACUUAUCUUUGAUAAGAUAUUGAUUUUCUUCUUUUAGAACUUUAUUUUUAUUGAUUAGUUUUUUAUGUUCUUCCAUGAGUUCUAAAAAUGCAUCAUGUAAUUCAUCAACAGUAAAAUCACAUUCAAGUUCAGAAUCUACCUCAUCGUCAUUGGCCAUAUGACAUAUUUGGGCCGUCUCUUGAUGAUCUUCCUCUUCCGAACUUGACUCCUCACUUUUUCACUCCAUUCAGCCAUGAAGUUCUUCUUUUUCAGUUUUCUUGCCAUCCACUUUAAUUCCGGACAAUCUAUCUUAUAAUGCCCGGGUUUGUUACACUCAUAACAAAUAGGAGUUUCUUUUUCCUUUUCUUUGUCCUUACCCUUUUCUUUGCUUGAGCUACCUUUGAAGAAGGGUUUCUUUUUAUGAAAUCUAUUCUUAUCUCUCAUAAAUUUUCUGAAUUUUCUUCCAAGCAUAGCCAUUCCUUCUUCAUCAAAUUCAUCAUCAUCAUCUGAAUCUUCCGACUCAGUUUGUUGUUUAGGGGUGGU